GAUGAACGCUAGCUACAGGCUUAACACAUGCAAGUCGAGGGACCGGCGCACGGGUGAGUAACACGUAUCCAACCUGCCCUUUACUCGGGGAUAGCCUUUCGAAAGAAAGAUUAAUACCCGAUAUAAAGGAUGGGGAUGCGUUCCAUUAGGUUGUUGGUGAGGUAACGGCUCACCAAGCCUUCGAUGGAUAGUGGUUCUGAGAGGAAGGUCCCCCAGAAUGGAACUGAGGCACGGACCAAAAUCCUACGGGAGGCAGGAGUGAGGAAUAUUGGUGAAUGGGCGCUAGCCUGAACCAGCCAAGUAGCGUGAAGGAUGAAGGCUUAGGGGGCGUAAACGUCUUUUAUAUAAGAAUAUGUAUUAUAUGAAUAAGGAUCGACUAACUCCGUGCCAGCAGCCGCGGUAAUUC
Molecule: ribosomal RNA, 406 nt
Filed under: uncultured bacterium
Lineage: Bacteria
Description: partial 16S ribosomal RNA
Rfam family: Bacterial small subunit ribosomal RNA
Source: RNAcentral